This 595-nucleotide ribosomal RNA is filed under the name Saccharomyces cerevisiae (brewer's yeast). Its description in RNAcentral is "eukaryotic LSU rRNA". It matches the Rfam family "Eukaryotic large subunit ribosomal RNA", at positions 67 to 676 of the family's 3401-position model. The record is from RNAcentral. Lineage: Eukaryota; Fungi; Ascomycota; Saccharomycetes; Saccharomycetales; Saccharomycetaceae.
AACGGGGGUAUGCCUUAGUACGGCGAGUGAAGCGGCAAAAGCUCAAAUUUGAAAUCUGGUACCUUCGGUGCCCGAGUUGUAAUUUGGAGAGGGCAACUUUGGGGCCGUUCCUUGUCUAUGUUCCUUGGAACAGGACGUCAUAGAGGGUGAGAAUCCCGUGUGGCGAGGAGUGCGGUUCUUUGUAAAGUGCCUUCGAAGAGUCGAGUUGUUUGGGAAUGCAGCUCUAAGUGGGUGGUAAAUUCCAUCUAAAGCUAAAUAUUGGCGAGAGACCGAUAGCGAACAAGUACAGUGAUGGAAAGAUGAAAAGAACUUUGAAAAGAGAGUGAAAAAGUACGUGAAAUUGUUGAAAGGGAAGGGCAUUUGAUCAGACAUGGUGUUUUGUGCCCUCUGCUCCUUGUGGGUAGGGGAAUCUCGCAUUUCACUGGGCCAGCAUCAGUUUUGGUGGCAGGAUAAAUCCAUAGGAAUGUAGCUUGCCUCGGUAAGUAUUAUAGCCUGUGGGAAUACUGCCAGCUGGGACUGAGGACUGCGACGUAAGUCAAGGAUGCUGGCAUAAUGGUUAUAUGCCGCCCGUCUUGAAACACGGACCAAAACAAAA